RNAcentral lists this long non-coding RNA (853 nucleotides) under Marmota monax (woodchuck). The record is from RNAcentral. Lineage: Eukaryota; Metazoa; Chordata; Mammalia; Rodentia; Sciuridae.
AAAAAAAAGAUUGUAUCUCAAAAUAAAAAAAAUAAAAAUGGCUGUGGUUGUAGGUCAGUGGUAGAGCAUCCCCCUGGGUUGGGUUCAAUCCUCAGUACCAAAAAAAAAAAAAAAAAGUUCUAUUGUCUAUCCUAAAUUUACUUUGUCAGUCCUCUACUUCAGAAAGCAUUUAUUUCCAGGCUUUUGUUAUUAAUAAUAAUGCAACAAUGAAUAAUCUUAUAUAUUAGUAUAUUUAGUAUUGUACAUGAGUAUAUAUGUAUGAUAAAUUCUAGAAACAGGAUUGGUUGGUUAAAAAUAUAUGCAUUUGUAAUCUUGAUACUAUGAGAUUGUCCUGCAGAAGGACAUGGCUCAUAGUAGAGGCUGAAGACUGGUGGCCUGUUGCCAUGCUUUGACUUGCAUGGUGUAGUAUUUUUAUAAAAUUAAAUGCUAAUUUUUAUGUUGAUGAAGAUGUGAAGCAACUAGAACUCUCACACUCUGCUAAUGGGAGUGUCAAGAAUUACAUUUCAGAAAUGUUUGGCAGUUUCUACAGAUGCCUAUGCUAUCAUUUAUGGUUUAAUCAGUAGUAGAAGGGAUUUCUUAUAGGGAUUUGACUAGAUAAUUGUGGAAGUUGUUUAAGAGUCUCCAAUCUCUGUAACACUUUUGUUUUUGCACCUAAUUCUGGAGCUUAAAGUCUACAAGAAGGCCGAUGGGAAGAUGAAUAUAAGGCAGGGGACAGAAAGAACACACUGGAAUCCACGAGCAUAAGCUGGAAGGCUUGAGGACAAACUGGAACUCAUGUCAGUUCUCACUGCCUCUAAUCUGGAUGUGAAUAAACUGCAGAAGCAGCUGGCCCAGGAGUCAGAGAAGUGAAAGA